This is a long non-coding RNA of Manis javanica (Malayan pangolin), 2536 nucleotides long. RefSeq lists it as uncharacterized. NCBI's taxonomy places the organism in Eukaryota, Metazoa, Chordata, Mammalia, Pholidota, Manidae. The record is from RefSeq and is a predicted model, not a curated record.
GCGCCAUGGGACCCUUUCACUCUGUUGUCUCCCUGAUGACAGCUGUCAGUCUGUCGCUGAGUGGACAUGCAAUAUUUCAACAAAAUCUGAAGAGAAACUGAAAGGGCAGGAGCUGAAAUACUCGGUUUAAACACACACAGCCAGACCUCUCUGGAGAUCUCCUCAAGCACCACCUUUCAUCCUGCUGAAGCGUCCCUGGAAAUCAUCCCAAGAGAAAGAGCCCACAAGCCCCGUGAAACUUCAGCAGGAAUGCGAAGGGUGCUAAAGCCAGUUGUCCAGCCGAGGGGCGGGGAAAUCGCUCACUCUCCCGGCGCGCCUCGGCACCAACCUCCGGACCUCGUGGCGACGCCCGGCGGUCGCGUGGGGCCAGGAGCGAGACCGCGCCCUCCGGCCCGGCAGGGGCGCCCGGUUUUGGCCCAGGCUCUUGUACUGCUCACAGGUGUCCUGGACAUCUUUGCGAAGAACAUUUGAUAAUAAUCACCCAGCUUGGCUGCAGCACAAACACUACGUGGACUUGGGGGCCCUUGAUGGAAAAUCACUUACUCUAUUCCUGAGAAGUAAUAUUUUCAGUUUACUUCACACAGACAACACUUUUUCAAAUUCAAAGUGGAUGUCUGUUUCCAUAGCCCAGUUCACAGAUCUUCAGAGCAUGAGGAAUCAACUCAAGGGACCUUAUCCAAGUCUGGUCCUAAUUUAGAUAGCAAGAUUCUGGACUUUGAGAUGAUGCCAUAAUGGGAUGAGACUUUGGUCACCUUGAAAGGGGUCAAUGCAUUUUACAUAUGGAAGAAAUAGUAAAUACAAAAAAUGUAAAUAAUUUGUGGCUGUAGGAAAGAUGGUAGCAGAGUAACCAUGUCUGUAAAUUAGUUGAUAUUUCUCUCUUUGAGAGGUUGGACCUAUUUCCCUUCCUAUUGAAUCUCCACUGCCUGGAUUCCUUUGAGCAUUACACCAUGGUAGGGGAAUGACACUAUGUCAGUUCUACGCCUACACUUUAAGGGAACUCUAAGCCUCUGCCCUGACAUCUUAAAGCUCUGAGAUGUCAUUUAAAAUCUAAUUCCCAGAUUGGACACCACAGGAAGAAGGUAAGGAAUACAGCUAAGGUCCCCUUUCCAGAUAACCCUUCCUAGUGCCAGGCAUGUGAUAAAGCCAUUGGCCUUCCAGAAGAGUCCAGCUGAAUACCACUGAGUAUGCCAGUAAAUGUCAAAUAGAGAAAAAGCACCCUAGUAAACCUGCCAAAAUUCUGAUUCACAAAGCCAUGAGAUAAUAGCGAAAUGCUUUUAGUUUCAAGCCAUGUGUUCUGAGGUAAGUAGUUUUGCCACCAGAGAUAACUGUCACAGCCCCCAAAGAAACUGAGUUGGAGGGACUGAAAAUCUGAGCGGAAUGUGUAUAUUUUCAUCAAUGGAAUCAGUGAUUGAAUUAAAGAUAGAAGCUUUAGGGAUUGAAAAUAAAGAUAGACCUUUGGUGAGAAUGCAUUAUGAUCCCAAGGCAACUGGGAAUAUUUACAAGUUUUUAAUCCACAUAAGCAAAUAGAUCUCUGGCAAGCCAUGUGAAUAAUGAAUAUCAGUGCAUGUAAUUUAUGAGUGUAUCCAUCACUGUAAGAACUAAAAGUGGCCAUGGGCUUAGAUGAAUUUGAGGAAUAGAGUAGGUAGGGCUUCAGGAGUUCAGAUCCUAAAGAGUGAUUGGCCUUCUUCCUCAGAUAGAAACUUGAGGUCUUCAGACACUUGAUAAAAAAUUCUUACAUUAUUCAUUAUAUCCAUUCAUUCAGCAAUAUUUAUUGUAUCAUCUACCUAUGCAAGUUCAGCAUAACAUUCUGUUAGGAAUACAAAAGAGGAGAUUCUGUCCUUGCCCUCCAGGGACUUACAGUAGGUUAGAAAAUGUCAGUCAAGGGCUAAAGUAAUGCUAAUGUACAAAAGAAAAUAUUGAUUUCUAGCAUUGGAGAGGAUUGACUGGCUCCAAGAUUUUAGAAUCUAGUCAAGGAGCUUCCUAAGUUGAAGAGGUAAGAAAUCAGUCCCUGAAUAGACUGGGGAACCAUAAAAGGGCAAAGGAAUAAAGAAGGAUCCAGUGACCAGGUAAUGCUUACCAAGGUCACAGUGCAAUUUGCAGAGAUUGAUUAUAUCCUGAACCCUGCUACUUCAAGGAGCCUUUAGAACCAGGAAGAUACUAGAAUCUCAUUUGGGGGCAUCUGCAGGAAAGUGCAAAUUACUCCAGAUAAAAAAAUUAGAGGCCCACCUGAGAUAGAACCAAUAAAAGUAGUUGAGGUGUCAGGAAUUCCAUGAGAAUUCUGCUAUGGGAAAUUCUAACAAAAUUCCUGUUGGAAGAGUAGGAUUCUGACCAAGUUGAAUAGAUUUUAUGCCGGAUGUUGCUGCUGAAAUCCCAGAGCCAGUGUUCCACUUGUCCUCAGUCCCUCUCUCUUGUUUUCACCCAAUCCUCUUCCUCCUAGAAAAUUAUUCAUGCCCACCCAGUAAUUACACUUCUAGGAAUUUCCCAAAGAAAACAAAAUCUCUGAUUCAAAAAGAUAGAUACACCUGUAUGUUUAUUA